GACGAACGCUGGCGGCGUGCUUAACACAUGCAAGUCGAACGGUGAAGCGCCUUCCUUUUUGGUGGGUGUGGAUGAGUGGCGAACGGGUGAGUAACACGUGAGUAACCUGCCCCCUUCUUCUGGAUAACCGCAUGAAAGUGUGGCUAAUACGGGAUAUUCUGGGUCUGUCGCAUGAUGGGUCUGGGAAAGAUAUUGUUUCGGUGGGGGAUGGGCUCGCGGCCUAUCAGCUUGUUGGUGGGGUGAUGGCCUACCAAGGCGGUGACGGGUAGCCGGCCUGAGAGGGUGGACGGUCACACUGGGGAUGAGACACGGCCCAGACUCCUACGGGAGGCAGCAGUGGGGAAUAUUGCACAAUGGGCGCAAGCCUGAUGCAGCGACGCCGCGUGAGGGAUGGAGGCCUUCGGGUUGUGAACCUCUUUCGCCAGUGAAGCAGGCCUGCCUCGUUUGUGGGUGGGUUGACGGUAGCUGGAUAAGAAGCGCCGGCUAACUACGUG
Molecule: ribosomal RNA, 494 nt
Filed under: uncultured bacterium
Lineage: Bacteria
Description: partial 16S ribosomal RNA
Rfam family: Bacterial small subunit ribosomal RNA
Source: RNAcentral